AUUAGCCCAAUUUUGAUCAAAUUCAAUUAAUUGGAGGCAAAGAAAUCAGUCUGCCCUAACUCUGCGACUUCCCCCUUUCGCGAGCUUUUCUGUAUCAACCAGAGAAGUGUUGUUGUUGUUAUACAAGGAACUGGAAGCAAUGGUAGAGGGGGUCAAACAUAAACCUAGGAAGGAGCGAGAAUCGAAAAGGAUUAGCGGUCAUCGAGAUGGCGAAAAGGAGAAGAAUGGAGAGAGGAGACAUAGGGGAAAAGAUAGAGAUUUUAAGAGAGAUGGUGAUUCUAGUCGUUCCGCGAGAGACAAGUUAGAUAGAGAUGAGAGAGAUUGUGAUUCUAGUCGUUCCACGAGAGACAAGUUUUGUGAUUCUGAGGACGAGAGGUAUGAGGUAGAGAAGCGGCAUCGAGGAGAUAGGGAGAGCGGUAGUCAUAGGAGGACUAGAGAUAAAGAGAUGGAGAGGGAGAAAGACAAAGAGAGGGGGAAAAGAGAGAGGGCUAGAGAGAAGGAAAGGGACAGAGAUCGAAAGAGAAGGGUGCGGAGUGAUGAUGUAGAUGAGGAGGAGGAGGAGGAGGAGGAUGUUAGGGAGAGUGAUAGGAAACGGCGUAGGAAAGAUGACAAGGAGAAUGCGGAGAGAGUGAGGGAAAGGAGUAACAGCAGGUCAGAUAGACAUAGGGAUGGUCAAGUUGAGAGCCCGGUAAAGAAGAGUGAUGAAGAUGAUUCAGUUAGGAAAGAGAAGAAUCCGAUCUCUGAGGUGGUGGAGGAGGAUUUAGAGGAUGAGCAGAGGAAAUUAGAUGAGGAAAUGGAAAAGCGGAGGAGGAGAGUUCAGGAGUGGCAGGAGUUAAGAAGAAAGGAGAAAGAAGCUGAGGGAGAGAAGCACGUGGAAGGGGAUGUUGAUAAACACAAGUCUAAAAAGACCUGGACACUUGAGGGAGAAUCUGAUGAUGAAGAAGAGACCGGUAUGGACGUUGAUGGAGAAGCCUAUCUCACUGACAAAGAGGAUGGAGCCGUCAUGGAGGUUCAUUCUGAGAAUGAAACAGCUGCACCUGCUUUGCAGGAUGAUGAAAUUGAUCCAUUAGAUGCUUUUAUGAAUUCUACAGUGCUGCCUCAAGUUGAGAAGCUGGCCAAUGCUGCAGAUCAACCAGUAGUUGCUGGUGAAAAAGGUUCAAACAAAUCUUUGGGCAGAAUAAUUCCUGGGGAGGAUUCUGAUUCGGAUUAUGGGGACUUUGAGAAUGAUGGCGAUCCCUUAGAAGACGAAGACGAUGAUGAGUUCACAAAAAGGGUGACAAAGACAAAAGUGGAUAAACUUUCUCUAGUGGAUCACUCAAAGAUAGAUUAUGAACCAUUCAGGAAAAAUUUCUACAUUGAGGUGAAGGAGGUCUCAAAAAUGACCCCAGAAGAUGUGGGUGCAUACCGAAAACAAUUGGAAUUGAAGAUACAUGGUAAGGAUGUCCCAAAGCCCAUUAAGACCUGGCACCAAACUGGACUUACAAAUAAAAUCUUGGAAAUGAUAAAGAAGCUCGACUAUGAAAAGCCAAUGCCAAUUCAGGCUCAGGCAGUGCCUAUAAUUAUGAGUGGACGAGACUGCAUUGGCAUUGCAAAAACUGGCUCAGGCAAAACCCUUGCAUAUGUGCUGCCAAUGCUGAGGCAUAUCAAGGAUCAGCCACCUGUGGUAGCUGGAGAUGGGCCUAUUGGCCUUAUAAUGGCACCAACGAGGGAGCUUGUUCAGCAGAUUCACAGUGUUAUAAACAAGUUUGCCAAGACACUGGGUCUCAGGUGUGUGCCUGUAUAUGGAGGUUCUGGUAUUGCCCAACAGAUUGGGGAGUUGAAGCGGGGUGCUGCAAUUGUUGUCUGUACCCCCGGUAGGAUGAUUGACAUACUUUGUACAAACGGAGGGAGGAUAACAAAUCUGCAGAGAGUAACUUACUUGGUUGUGGAUGAAGCUGAUCGAAUGUUUGACUUGGGUUUUGAACCUCAAAUCAAUCGAAUUGUUCAGAAUAUUCGGCCAGAUCAUCAGACUCUAUUGUUUUCUGCCACGUUCCCUCACCAGGUUGAAGUCUUAGCACGUAAAGUCUUAAACAAACCUGUGCAUAUACAGGUUGGUGGUAAGAGUGUUGUAAACAAGGACAUUACACAAUUUGUUGAAGUGAGGUCCGAAAAUGAAAGGUUUGUUAGAUUAUUAGAGAUACUUGGGGAAUGGUAUGAGAGAGGAAAAAUUCUGGUGUUUGCCAAAGCACAUGCAACGUGUGACACUGUGCUUAGGGAUCUGCUUAGGCAUGGAUAUCCUUGUCUCUCACUUCAUGGGAACAAAGAUCAAACAGAUCGUGAAUCCACCAUAUCUGAUUUUAAGAGCGAUGUGUGUAAUUUGUUAAUUGCAACUAGUCUUGCUUCUAGAGGGUUAGAUGUUAAAGGGGUUGAGCUGGUGAUCAACUUUGAUACUCCAGAUCACUACGAGGACUAUGUUCACCGUGUUGGUCGUACAGGCCGAGCUGGCAAGAAAGGUUGUGCUAUAACGUUCAUCUCUGAGGAAGAUGCUAAGUAUGCGCCAGAUCUUGUCAAAGCAUUGGAACUCUCCGAGCAAGCUGUUCCAGAUGAUCUUAAAUCUCUUGCUGAUGGUUUCAUGGCAAAAAUAAAGCAGGGACUAGAGCAGGCCCAUGGGACUGGUUACGGCGGCAGUGGUUAUAAAUUUAAUGAAGAGGAAGAUGAAGCAAGGAAAGCAGCAAAGAAAGCACAGGCCAAAGAAUAUGGUUUUGAGGAUGACAAGUCAGAUUCAGAAGAUGAAGAUGAUGGUGUCAGAAAGGCUGGGGGUGACAUUUCACAGCAGGCUGCCCUUGCUCAAAUAUCAGCUAUUGCUGCUGCCUCUAUUGGUGGUACGGCUUCAGUUCAGACCCCUGUCUCUGCUGCCCAACUGCUUCCUAAUGGUGGAUUACCUGUUUCUCUUCCCAGUGUCCUUGGUGGUGCAACGUUGCUAGGAACAGCAGCUGUUUUUCCUGGGAUGGGUCUGAAUCUUGUUGGACAUGAAGGGGCAGCUCGAGCAGCAGCAAUUGCAGCUGCCAUGAAUUUGCAGCAUAACCUAGCAAAGAUUCAAGCUGAUGCAAUGCCCGAGCACUAUGAAGCAGAGUUGGAAAUAAAUGAUAUUCCCCAGAAUGCUCGAUGGAAGGUUACCCACAAGGAAACUUUGGGCCCUAUAUCAGAGUUGACUGGAGCUGCCAUUACUAUUAGGGGUCAACAUUUCCCACCAGGCAAGGUUCCAGGGCCAGGAGAUCGCAAGCUUUACCUGUUUAUUGAGGGUCCUACUGAACAAUCUGUCAAGAGAGGUAAAUCAGAACUAAAACGCAAGUUGGAAGAAAUCAUGAAUCAGUCAUUAUCACUUCCCGGCGGCGCUCAGCAACGCAGAUAUCAAGUUAUAUAAGUGAGAACUUGAUUCCAACUUACUUUAUGCAUAAUUUUAUCUGCUUAUGCUGAACUCAACCUGACUCUCAGUUCUUUGUUUAUUGUUUCGCAAUCACCUAAUGAGUUUCUAUAUUGAAUUGUUCUGAUUAAUAGAAUAUUUGUCUUUCCAAAUGUCCUAUCUAUCCUGCUAAUCUUUCAUAUCCAACUUGUACGAGAACCUGCCCUGUUAAUCUCUAAAUGAAAUCUCAGUAAUCUAAUUACGGUUAACGAUUGUUAUUUAGAACUUGUUUUAUUUUUACUUGGAAUAGUCAGAUACAUGUUGGAUUCACUAUGUACAUAGUUAUGAUUUGUUGUCUUGCUUUGCACAAUUUUCAGUCCCGCUUUUGAUCUUUUUUCUUUUCUUUUGUUUGUCAUUUCCCCUGGUGCGAGGGACAUUAUGUGCUUAUGCUCGCAUGUUCAAUAUUGUCUCUGCCCUUAUGAAGCUGUCCAAAAGAUGCGAACGUGGUGCAAUUCUUCAGUUUGAAGGGAUGUUUUGUUUGGGAGUUGCUGGAGCCGAUCAGCUGCCCUAUAAAAUGGAUUUGCUUUUGCGGUGCUAUAACGGGUUACUGAGUUCUUUCAGAGAUAACUAACCCUGCGCACUUUGCUGUAGUUUUGCCGCUUUUGGACUUCACUUUUUGAUUGUCAUGGUCGUUUUAUUUGUUGCAAAUGCCUUUUAUGAUCUGAAUUUCAAAUCGCAGGCUAUGCCUUUGCUUUCUAGUAAAGAUUUUCAAUUUUGGUUUGUUUUUAUGUUCACAUGAUUUUCAUUAGCAGGUUUAAUUUGUCGUCUUUCUCGUGGAGGCGAUCUUAUAAGGAACACGGUAGUUGACCAACACAUUGAUGAUAUACUGAUGUCCUUUUUGUUCUUUUCAGCUGGAACUAGCAAUGGAUCAUAAGCCAGUGGAAAUGUCAUGCCAAAGUGGCCGCGGAAGACAUCACGGGACUGAAACUUGAAUUUCCAUGGCAGCAAACUGUUUACCUGCGUUCUGAGGAGUGUUCUUUUAUACUAUAUUUGGCAUGUAAGAUAUCUACACAAUUUUUUGCAGAAACCCGAAAUUUACUCAAAAGUGAAAGGUUCAAUGUAAAAUUCAUAAAUAUGAAUGUUUUAAGAAACAGCGUUCUUGUUCA
This is an RNA transcript of Pyrus x bretschneideri (Chinese white pear), 4548 nucleotides long. It is a transcript of the gene named DEAD-box ATP-dependent RNA helicase 42, with no coding region annotated. The record is from RefSeq and is a predicted model, not a curated record. NCBI's taxonomy places the organism in Eukaryota, Viridiplantae, Streptophyta, Magnoliopsida, Rosales, Rosaceae. The transcript is spliced from 4 exons.